Long non-coding RNA from Haliotis rubra (blacklip abalone), 318 nucleotides. RefSeq lists it as uncharacterized. The record is from RefSeq and is a predicted model, not a curated record. The transcript has 2 exons. NCBI's taxonomy places the organism in Eukaryota, Metazoa, Mollusca, Gastropoda, Lepetellida, Haliotidae.
UAUAUAUAUAUAUAUGGGCAGGUGUAUGUGCAUAUGCAUGUACGUAAGUGUACAUGAUAUGAAGUAGGUAUAAUACAAUGUACUAGGUACUAUUGUAGUUAGCGUGUAAUGACAUGCAUUAGCCAUGUGUGGUGUGUAUUGACUUGUAUGUAGAUAAUAUUGUGGUACUAUGUAUGUUUAUUUACUACAGAUCCUUACAGGACUGUAUGGUAUGAGGGACUGCUGGAUCUGGCAAACCUAGGUCCACACACCUGAGUUUAUGUAUAAGGAGGAUAUGGUGGAUUCGUCCCAGUGUAAUAAAGAUGCCGUCAACUCACA